This 132-nucleotide small RNA is filed under the name Escherichia coli. Its description in RNAcentral is "RtT sRNA". It matches the Rfam family "RtT RNA". Rfam says of the family: This family represents a bacterial cis-regulatory element known as RtT RNA. The exact function of RtT is unknown although it is thought that it may be involved in changing the cellular response in relation to amino acid starvation. Lineage: Bacteria; Pseudomonadati; Pseudomonadota; Gammaproteobacteria; Enterobacterales; Enterobacteriaceae. The record is from RNAcentral.
GUUUGCACUCAUCGGGGAAGGGUGGGAACCUUCGACUAAGGUUCGAUUCGAGCGAAAGCGAGAGAACGUUGCCACAGGCAACGGCCCGAAGGGUGAGGAGCGAAGCGACGAAUAAUCCUUCCCCCACCACCA